UUACAAAAAAAUUAUAGAAAUUAUAUUAAAAAGAUAAAUUUAUCCAAAUUAAUAUAUAUUAUAAUUUAUAUAUGGAUAUAUGACUAUAUUCAUUGCGCAUGAAAGAUUUACUUCUAAAAUUUCGCGCUUGACGCCAAAGUUUCGAGAGAUCGAACUCAUUUCAAUAAUUCGAGCCGUUGCAGUGCGAGCAGUCGUAAAUUGUCUGUCCUCAGUGAAGGAAUAUCAAGAUAUUUGUUUUUAUACCAGUUAACUCACAUGCGUUUUUCUUAUUAAUCCGUGUUAUUAGAGUACUGAAAUUCUUGGAAUACGGAUUUAAUAAUAUCUCAACGAACUCUCGCGAGUGAAUACGCUAAAGAGAACAAAGACCGUAUACGAAGAUGUGCGGUGGUUUUACGUGUUCUAAAAACGCAUUGACGGCACUAAAUAUUCUUUAUAUCGUUGUUGCAUUUAUUUUAAUUGGUGUGGCUGUUUAUGGAAGAGCUUCAGCAUUAGUUACAAAUCUUCCUAUUAUUGGAGGUAUUUUAGCAUGUGGUGUUAUUUUGAUUCUAAUUUCUAUAAUUGGUCUGAUUGGUGCUGUUAAACAUCAUCAAGUUCUAUUAUUCUUUUAUAUGUUGAUUUUAUUUCUGUUAUUCUUGAUUCAAUUCAGUAUUGCUUGUGCUUGUCUUGCUGUCAAUGCCAAACAGCAAGAACAAUUAGCAGAACAGGGUUGGAAACAUGCACCAGAAUUAAGAACAAAAGUUGAGGAAACUUUUAAUUGUUGUGGAUUCAAUGGUACUGAUAGCACAUUUAUAAUGAAUACUUCAGAUUCAUUAUCAUGUAAAAAUAAACUCUGUUCUUGUCAAUAUCCUACAGAUAUUGAUUGUGAAUGUCCAUCUUGUAUGCAAAAAUUACAAUCCACAAUUGAUUAUGCCUUUAAGCUAUGUGGUAGCAUAGGAUUGUUUUUCAGUUUUACUGAAUUUGUUGGUGUUUGGUUGACCGUGCGGUACAGGAAUCAGAAAGAUCCACGAGCUAAUCCUAGUGCUUUCCUCUAGUCUAAUAUCAUCGCUAUGUCCUCUGUCACCUCAUGCGAUCCUCCUAAUAGAUGGUGAUUGCAGCUUUCUUGGCAAAACAUUAUAGAAAUCAACUAAAUCCAUCUUUAAAAACCAUAUUUCCUUAGUAUAAUUUUAUUUACAUAGUUCAUAUAGUUUAAAAAAAAAUUUUUUUUUAAUUGAAAGAUAGAUUUUAAUAAGUAAUGAGAUUAAUGAUUUAUAACUAUAAUUCUGGUCACUUUGAUUAUUUAAUAGUCAAAAGAUCUAUUUUUAUUUAACAGUACAAACAUCAUCUUGCAUACAAUACAAUUUUUGAAAAACUAUUGGUCUUUCACACUGCAAUUUAUAAUGCUCAACAGAAAAAAAAAAUAGCACAUUUGGAACAGUCAUAGAUUUUAGAACAGAUUAGAUAACAUAUAAUUAAAAUGUGUGCUCUAGUCAUCCAUUUAGAAAAAUCGUACUAAGCCUCAAUGCGCCUUGUAGUUUAAUAUUUAGGUACAUUUAUGCAAAGCCUUUCUAUAAAACUUUGUUUAUUUAUAAAAGAUAACUUAUAUAAAUAUGAUUGAUUAUCUAAUUUACUUUCUAUCAAUAUAUUUUUUAAAAGUACAAGUGUUAUUAAAAAUUUUAAAUAGGUUUUAGAAAAUAUAACAUGUCCCGAAUAUUAUCAAUUCUUUUUAUUUGGUAAAGAUCUUUUGUGGUUUAAUUUUUAAUCAGAAAAGAUUAAAGAUUUUUAAUUUUUUUUUUACCUCAUAAUAUUCAUAAAUAUUUUUAAUAAUUUCAUUUUUAAUUAAAUUAAUUAGAAAAUUAAAUCAAAUUAUUUUUUAUCAAAAUAUUGUUAUAAAAAAACGAAAGAAUUUCGUUGUAAAUUAUAAAGUAUUAAUAUUAUAAUAAUUAUAAAGUUAAUAUUUCACAAAUCAAACAUAUUAAUGCUAUAAUAAAAAAUAUAACGUGAUGAUUAAAAUAUUAUACACAAUUCUUUGAUCUUGGCAUAUUAUUACAAUACUGCCAUGUAUAAUAAUAUCAUAAUCAUCACUAAUCAUUAUUAAUUUCCAAUUUUUAAUCUGCUUUCUUUAAUUUUUAUAAAUUUCCAUUAUAAAAUUCUAUGAGCAUAUUCCUAAAUUUUAUAUAUGAUGCAUUUAAGAAAUAUUCCAAUUAUUACAAUUAUUCUAUCUUUUAAAUUAUUCUAUUAAGUUAAAAUAUUGUUAUUUUAAUAAAUUAAAAAAAUUAUUAACUUUAUUAAAUAUGUAAUGCUUAUAUGAAAUUUUUAAAAUUUUUAUUUUAUUUAAUUAAUAAGUAAAAAGAAUAAUCAUAAUUAUAUAUUAUACUUAGAUUUAAUAUUGCACUAACUAAUAAAUGUCUUAUUAAAAUAUGUAUUUAUAAUAUUAUGUUCUGAAUAUUAUAUAAACAUUUAUUUAUUUUGUGAAAGUACAUGUUUAAAAAAAAAGGUACAUAUUGUUGAAAUUAUCAAUAUUUUUAUUUCUAUAUUAAUUUUGUUUUCUUUUCUUUUUUAUAAUUAAAAUAAGAGAACGGCAAUAAAAUUGCACGAUCAAAAAAUUAGAAUAUAUAUGUUGUUAUAAAAAAAGAUCUAUAUAACUAUAUGUCUUUUGCUAUAAUAUUGACUGAGAAAUGUUUUUCUAAUUGUAUCUAUUGAUAAAUCUAAAAUCAAUCAUCUUAAUAUUAUGUUAAAGAAUUAAAAAUGUUUGAUGAAAACCUUCUCAGCAAUAUAUUGAAUAUAAAUAGAAUUGGUUUGAAGAUAUAAUAUUAAAGCAUAUAAUAUAACAUUAUUAUCAAUAAAAUAUAUAACAUUAUAUAUACUUUUACAAUUAUAAUUGUGAAAAUAAAUCUUUAUAUUAUUUAUUGAUAUAAUUGAUUUCAGGAUUUCUAUAUUUGAUUAGAUUUUUUUUGUUUUUUCAGAAAAUACUGUAAGCUCAUAAAAUUUUAAUCUUUUUUUUAUAACAUUUUAUAUAUAAUGAUUAAUAACGAUUAUUUAUUACAUUAAUUUUUUAUUCUAUAUAUUUUACAUUUUAGGAUAUUUUUAAAAAUAAUACAUAUUAACCCUUUCAAUGCUUUUAAUUUUUUAAAUUAUAAAGGAAAUUAUUUUGAAAAAUAUAAUGUACUAUAUAUAUUUAAUAUAUAUAGGAUAUUAAUAUUAUGUUUAUAAUAUCUUAUAUUAUAUAAUUACAAAUAAAUAAAAUAAUUUAUUAAUAAAUUAAAAAAUAUACAAAAUAAGAUAAAAUUAUUUUAUUAUUAUAAAUGAAAAAAAUUUUGUUUCUUAUAUAUAUAUAUUAAUUAAAAUAACAUAAUAAAGUAUGAAGAUCUAUAUAUAUUUAAAUUUAAAUAAAAUAAAAAAUAAUAAAACAUGUAGCAAAGGGUUAAUAGAAAUGUAUUAUUCUAACAUUCCAAUUAUUCUUUUACUUUUAUCAAAAAUAUGAAGUAAUAAUAAUAUAAAUAUCCUUAAAAUUUAUAAUUUUUCUGUAUGUGAAAAUUAUAUUAUAUUAUAUUAUAGAGCAAAAUUAAAUAUAUAUAUAUGAUAUAUAUAUAUAUAAACAUAUAUAGGAUAAGAUAAAAAUCAUAGUAUAAUUGAUUAUAUAAUAUUUCUACGUGAAAAAAUUUAGUGGUUGAUUUUUUUGUCCUUUCAAAAUUUUCAGAGAAAAAUUUUGAAAAUUAUACAUAUAUAAUUUUGAUUGUCAUCUUAUUUUUUAUAUUAAUAAGUUUGAAUUAAUAUUUAUAAAUUUAAAUCAUAUAAUAAAUGGAUUUCAAUAAAAUUUUUCAUUAUUUUAUUAAUAAAUAUUAUUAUUAAUAAAUAAUAAUAUAUAAUAAAUAUGAUUUUAUUAUUCUGUUAUUGAAAAUAUAACUUCUAUUGUACUUUUCAUAACAUGGCUUACAAAUAAUUAUUCGAACAUAUGAUAAUAAAAUAUAUGAUAAUAAUAUCAUAUUACAAUAAUAAAUUAAUUUUUUAGCUUUCAAUCAUUUAUUUUUUUUAGAAUUAAAAAUUGAUUUUAUAAAAAAUAAAAAAAUUCGCAUUAAAUUUUUCUUAUAUUUUUUCACGUAGAUAUUAAACGUUUAAAAUCAUGUUUUUAAUAGUUAUACUACAAUUUUUGAUUUACUUGUAUUAAAUGUUUAUUAAUAUAUAAUUUACCUGUAUUAAAUAAAUAAAAUAAAUGGUAAAUAUAUAUUGAUAUAA
This is an RNA transcript of Apis cerana (Asiatic honeybee), 4212 nucleotides long. It is a transcript of the gene named Tetraspanin 97E, with no coding region annotated. Lineage: Eukaryota; Metazoa; Arthropoda; Insecta; Hymenoptera; Apidae. The record is from RefSeq and is a predicted model, not a curated record.